RNAcentral lists this ribosomal RNA (230 nucleotides) under Dryocola boscaweniae. Its description in RNAcentral is "partial 16S ribosomal RNA". It matches the Rfam family "Bacterial small subunit ribosomal RNA", at positions 1 to 227 of the family's 1533-position model. The record is from RNAcentral. Lineage: Bacteria; Pseudomonadati; Pseudomonadota; Gammaproteobacteria; Enterobacterales; Enterobacteriaceae.
UAAUUGAAGAGUUUGAUCAUGGCUCAGAUUGAACGCUGGCGGCAGGCCUAACACAUGCAAGUCGAACGGUAGCGGGAAGAAGCUUGCUUCUUUGCCGACGAGUGGCGGACGGGUGAGUAAUGUCUGGGAAACUGCCUGAUGGAGGGGGAUAACUACUGGAAACGGUAGCUAAUACCGCAUAACGUCUUCGGACCAAAGAGGGGGACCUUCGGGCCUCUUGCCAUCAGAUG